This 2598-nucleotide ribosomal RNA is filed under the name Streptococcus pneumoniae. Its description in RNAcentral is "23S ribosomal RNA". The stretch from base 981 to 2597 matches the Rfam family "Bacterial large subunit ribosomal RNA". The record is from RNAcentral. Lineage: Bacteria; Bacillati; Bacillota; Bacilli; Lactobacillales; Streptococcaceae.
AAUAAGAAAAAUGCCAGUAUGGUAUUGGCAGCCAAGGCUGUCAAAGAUGGUGAAGCAGACGCUGUCCUUUCGGCUGGGAAUACAGGUGCCUUGUUGGCAGCAGGAUUCUUCAUCGUGGGUCGUAUCAAGAAUAUCGACCGUCCUGGACUCAUGUCUACCUUGCCUACCGUUGAUGGGAAAGGUUUUGACAUGCUUGACCUCGGUGCUAAUGCAGAAAAUACAGCCCAGCACCUCCAUCAAUACGCUGUCCUAGGUUCUUUCUAUGCCAAGAAUGUUCGUGGCAUUGCGCAACCACGUGUUGGUUUGCUCAACAACGGAACAGAGAGUAGCAAGGGCGACCCGCUUCGUAAGGAAACUUAUGAAUUACUGGCGGCUGAUGAAAGUUUGAACUUUAUCGGAAACGUGGAAGCGCGUGAUUUGAUGAAUGGCGUUGCAGAUGUUGUUGUGGCAGAUGGUUUCACGGGAAACGCUGUGCUCAAAUCCAUCGAAGGGACAGCUAUGGGAAUCAUGGGCUUGCUCAAGACAGCUAUUACAGGUGGUGGUCUUCGAGCGAAACUAGGUGCCCUCCUUCUCAAGGACAGCCUCAGAGGUUUGAAAAAACAGCUCAAUUAUUCAGAUGUUGGUGGAGCGGUCUUGUUUGGUGUUAAGGCACCUGUUGUCAAGACUCAUGGCUCAAGCGAUGCCAAGGCUGUUUAUAGUACGAUUCGCCAGAUUCGUACCAUGCUAGAAACAGACGUAGUUGCCCAGACUGCGCGUGAAUUUUCAGGAGAAUAAAAGAGAUGACAGAAAAAGAAAUUUUUGACCGUAUUGUGACCAUUAUCCAAGAGCGACAGGGAGAGGACUUUGUCGUGACAGAAUCCUUGAGUCUGAAAGACGAUUUGGAUGCGGAUUCUGUUGACUUGAUGGAGUUUAUCUUGACUCUGGAAGAUGAAUUUAGUAUCGAAAUCAGCGAUGAGGAAAUUGACCAACUCCAAAGUGUAGGAGAUGUGGUUAAAAUCAUUCAAGGAAAAUAGCAAUCGGAGUUCCAAGUCAACGGAAGUAGAUGGUUUUUAGAAAUGAGAAAUAUCGGACAAGCUGGUAAAAUCUUGGCUGACAGUGGUUAUCNCUACGUCUGUUUCUAGCAUGGUACGAAUCUGGCGAAUCGUACUAUAAACAGCCUUGGCAUCGCUUGAGCCAUGAGUCUUGACAACAGGUGCCUUAACACCAAACAAGACCGCUCCACCAACAUCUGAAUAAUUGAGCUGUGAUGGGGAGCGAAGUUUAGUAGCGAAGUUAGUGACGUCACACUGCCAAGAAAAGCUUCUAGCGUUUAAACAUACUCUACCCGUACCGCAAACCGACACAGGUAGUCGAGGCGAGUAGCCUCAGGUGAGCGAGAGAACUCUCGUUAAGGAACUCGGCAAAAUGACCCCGUAACUUCGGGAGAAGGGGUGCUGACUUUAAGUCAGCCGCAGUGAAUAGGCCCAAGCAACUGUUUAUCAAAAACACAGCUCUCUGCUAAAUCGUAAGAUGAUGUAUAGGGGGUGACGCCUGCCCGGUGCUGGAAGGUUAAGAGGAGUGCUUAGCGUAAGCGAAGGUAUGAAUUGAAGCCCCAGUAAACGGCGGCCGUAACUAUAACGGUCCUAAGGUAGCGAAAUUCCUUGUCGGGUAAGUUCCGACCCGCACGAAAGGCGUAAUGAUUUGGGCACUGUCUCAACGAGAGACUCGGUGAAAUUUUAGUACCUGUGAAGAUGCAGGUUACCCGCGACAGGACGGAAAGACCCCAUGGAGCUUUACUGCAGUUUGAUAUUGAGUGUCUGUACCACAUGUACAGGAUAGGUAGGAGUCUAAGAGAUCGGGACGCCAGUUUCGAAGGAGACGCUGUUGGGAUACUACCCUUGUGUUAUGGCCACUCUAACCCAGAUAGGUGAUCCCUAUCGGAGACAGUGUCUGACGGGCAGUUUGACUGGGGCGGUCGCCUCCUAAAAGGUAACGGAGGCGCCCAAAGGUUCCCUCAGAAUGGUUGGAAAUCAUUCGCAGAGUGUAAAGGUAUAAGGGAGCUUGACUGCGAGAGCUACAACUCGAGCAGGGACGAAAGUCGGGCUUAGUGAUCCGGUGGUUCCGUAUGGAAGGGCCAUCGCUCAACGGAUAAAAGCUACCCUGGGGAUAACAGGCUUAUCUCCCCCAAGAGUUCACAUCGACGGGGAGGUUUGGCACCUCGAUGUCGGCUCGUCGCAUCCUGGGGCUGUAGUCGGUCCCAAGGGUUGGGCUGUUCGCCCAUUAAAGCGGCACGCGAGCUGGGUUCAGAACGUCGUGAGACAGUUCGGUCCCUAUCCGUCGCGGGCGUAGGAAAUUUGAGAGGAUCUGCUCCUAGUACGAGAGGACCAGAGUGGACUUACCGCUGGUGUACCAGUUGUCUUGCCAAAGGCAUCGCUGGGUAGCUAUGUAGGGAAGGGAUAAACGCUGAAAGCAUCUAAGUGUGAAACCCACCUCAAGAUGAGAUUUCCCAUGAUUAUAUAUCAGUAAGAGCCCUGAGAGAUGAUCAGGUAGAUAGGUUAGAAGUGGAAGGGUGGCGACACAUGUAGCGGACUAAUACUAAUAGCUCGAGGACUUAUCCAA